CUUCAAGAGGGUGUUAUAAAAUCUGGGGUUCAUUUAUUCUGCAGGGCAAGGGUAUCUUGUAAGCAUUUAUAAAUCAAGCAGCAUGGGCAAGGUUUAAAGGGUGUGGAUUAUUGCAAAACAUUACGUCACAAUGGGGCAUUCCAGCUUGCCAGAUGCUAUUCCAAACACUAUGACCACUUCACUGACUUGAAGUGGUAUUGGUGCCCGGAGUCUGUAUGUGCAGAGGUUUGGUAUGCAAUGCUACACUUACAGAGCUUAAUCCCUCUGUAACUCUACCUGCAGCUGCGUCAUUGGAGCGUCAUUAGCUAGCCCAGUACAAGGGUUCUCGGUCACUAAUGUGAAUUUGGCAUCACAAAUUAAUGUGAUUUGCAAAAUUGAGGCUAAAAUAGGCUAGCUGUAAUUACAGAGGACUUGGAAAACCUUUUUCACCAUUUAUUUAAUCCUUAAUUUUGCAAUUUGUAUUUAUUUCACCAAAAUUCAG
Pelobates cultripes (western spadefoot toad) is the source of this 481-nucleotide non-coding RNA. NCBI's taxonomy places the organism in Eukaryota, Metazoa, Chordata, Amphibia, Anura, Pelobatidae. The record is from the annotation of a GenBank genome assembly.